Long non-coding RNA from Pseudophryne corroboree (corroboree frog), 946 nucleotides. RefSeq lists it as uncharacterized. NCBI's taxonomy places the organism in Eukaryota, Metazoa, Chordata, Amphibia, Anura, Myobatrachidae. The record is from RefSeq and is a predicted model, not a curated record. The transcript is spliced from 3 exons.
AGAUGGCCGCCAUCGGGAGCACAGGCAGGAGAACUCCUGGAAUAACUGCAGCUGCUGAGGGCUGAGAGGGCGCCAACCCACUUCCAAGUGUGCCCGAGGGGUCUGUGGAGGUAGAAGGUGAAGUGCCCACAGGUUGGAGCAAGCAGGGGAGCAGCCACAGGUCCCAUUUUGGCCGUGAUCCGGUCCCGGAGCAUGUUUCCGGGGAGGCCUUCAACUCGAGGCCCCGGCUUCAGGGUUACUCGAUACCGGAAAGCAAUUAUGCGAAUGAAAUGAAAAAGAGAGAAGAAAAAUAUCUGAAAGCUGAUUCAUUCUGAAACAUGGUUCAACUGAUUCUCAAAACAAUCUGAAAAGGUGGCGCUGAGAAAGGUGAAUAAUCAAAGACUGCCUCUUGUUCGAGAUACAGCUAUAAACUGAAAGAUCAUUCCUGGAAGUGACGUCUCACAUUGGUAAGAUGCAAACAUCUCACGCCAGGGGAACGCAAAUGCGGAAGUGAAGUUCUUCCGACACGCUGAGCGGGAUAUGAGCCACUUCCGAUUGGAGGAUGGUGUGGCGCCAAAAGGAAUUGAAAGUGCUCUUCCGGAAAGGCUGGAACGGAGGGAUGGAACAGACAUUUUUCUCAGCAAUAGGAGGAUGUUUUAGAAGAUAGUUAAUCCAUGUCUGGAAAUAGGACUUUUUUGUUAAUUAUGUGAUGACAUCAUCAAAGGGGUAUAAAGGGAUGCCCAGGGAUGAUAUACCAUUAUGCCUUGAAAAAGAUACCAUAGUGUAUCGAAACGCGUCGGCAGUUCGUUUGUUGUGAAGGGGAGACACUGGUACGGAACCAUAGAGGGACCAACGAGGUGCUGGGGACGCCUGGUAUUAUUUCAAUCAUGCCUUGUUUGUCUACUUUUUUAGUGGACAAUCCUAGAUGGUGAGAGUCCAGUGAUUUUACCCUGUUCUGGUUGUUAAC